Molecule: non-coding RNA, 342 nt
Organism: Psammomys obesus (fat sand rat)
Lineage: Eukaryota; Metazoa; Chordata; Mammalia; Rodentia; Muridae
Source: the annotation of a RefSeq genome assembly
AUGGAGUCACAGACCCACGUCCUCAUGUUGUUGCUGUUCUGGGUGUCUGAUACCAGUGGCGACUUCGUAAUGACCCAGUUUCCAUCUUCCCCGUUUGUGUCAGCAGGAGAGAAGGUCACCAUCAGUUGCAAGUCCAGUCUGAGUCUUUUAAGCAUCAGAAACCAAAAGAACUACUUGGCCUGGUACCAGCAGAAACCAGGGCAAUCCCCUAAGCUGCUAAUCUACUGGUCAUUCACUGUUCAAGCAGGGGUCCGAGAUCACUUCACAAGCAGUGGACCUGGGACAAAUUUCACUCUCAGCAUCAACAGUGUGCAGGCUGAAGACCUGGCAGUUUAUUACUGA